This 248-nucleotide ribosomal RNA is filed under the name uncultured bacterium. RNAcentral's name for it is "partial 16S ribosomal RNA". It matches the Rfam family "Bacterial small subunit ribosomal RNA", at positions 15 to 257 of the family's 1533-position model. The record is from RNAcentral.
GAUCAUGGCUCAGGAUGAACGCUAGCUACAGGCUUAACACAUGCAAGUCGAGGGGCAGCAUUUUUAUAGCAAUAUAAAAGAUGGCGACCGGCGCACGGGUGAGUAACACGUAUCCAACCUGCCGAUAACUCGGGGAUAACCCUUCGAAAGAAGGCCUAAUACCCGAUGGCAUAUCCCUUCCGCAUGGUAGAACUAUUAAAGAAUUUCGGUCAUCGAUGGGGAUGCGUUCCAUUAGGUUGUUGGCGGGG